Molecule: long non-coding RNA, 1447 nt
Filed under: Nicotiana benthamiana
Lineage: Eukaryota; Viridiplantae; Streptophyta; Magnoliopsida; Solanales; Solanaceae
Description: long non-coding RNA (NBEN_LNC018977)
Source: RNAcentral
UAAUUCCCUCUGAUUUUUAGGCCUUGUCCGAGAUUCUUUGACCAAAUUGUCAAACUAGCUUAUAUUUUCCUUACCAUAUUUGUGCAUGAACAACCUUUAGUAUAUUUUCCCUAACUUAAGCUACUAUGUAUCUGACCCUUAUUGAAUAUUAUAUGCCUGUUACUCUUACUAGGGUAAAUAUAGUUAAUUGAUUUCUUUCCUUUUGAACCCUCUGUUUGUUACCGUUUGCCCUCGACUCCUUGAUUAAAGGGGAACCCUGAUACUAAUUGGAUUCUUGAUUGAAAGUAGUCCCUCAAUUAAAGAUUACUGUUUGUUUAUGCAUUCGUUUUCCAGUACUAUAAAUACCCUCCCCUUUUUCUUUGAAAGACACCAGCACACUGCAUAUCUCUCAAAACUUCAGACUCUCUGAAAUUCUCUCUUUCUCUGCUAUUACUAUACUCUCUCAUUCUAUUAUUUGAACACUCAAUUGGCUUAAAGCCAAGAUUGAGUAGCCUGGGUCGACUAUUUCUACAUUACUGGGCUUCAUUGUUUGUUUACUUGGGUUUUGCUACUACUGCUGUUAUUCUCAUACUGCUGAUGCACAUUGUUAUUCUCUUUGCACUAUUGCUCACUGCUAUUGUGUUCUAUUACUUGCAUCUGGUAUGUCACCCUUUUAAGAUAUAGCUUCCAGAACAUUAUGUUUCUAUUAAUUUUGCAUUUCAUAAUGUUUCUUGUGUGCUUUUACUUAUGGUAUUGUUGCUCUUUUGUCACUAGCAUGUUACUUACUAGUCUACUUGGUUUAGCUUAACAUGCUCCCUUUACUCCUUCCCUGUCUCAAUGAAUGUUUUCCUUCCCAUUGUGCACUACUAUUAUGUGUCCAGGGCUUCUUGGCUAGCCCAAAACCUCUGUUUAAGGCUAAGUGUAUUGGGGUUUGGUGCAGUAAGAACUGAACCCCUGAUUCUGCAACCAUGUCUGAUUACUUUCCUCCAAUAUGUUGUGGUUCACUUCACUUACUUGUUCCCUUCCCCUUUACCCCUGUUUGUGUGAUGUUGUGCCAAGCCCAAAUGAUUUCAGAAGAAUUUUUUAAUUAUUUCAACUAUUUUCUCAAACUGUCUCAAUUCUUUAACUAUUUUUCUCAAGAUGUCUCUCAAUUGUUUUUUUUAACUCUCUCAAUUCUAUCACAAUCUCACUACUCUUAGAACAUUAGGUUCUGCCCUCUUAGUGUAAGCAUUGCCUUAGGAUCCCUUGAGCCCCCAUUGAACUUUGAUGUACAAGGCGGCAUUUCCACACUUGCACUUGUCUAAUUAUGUUAUUUUGGGUGCUUGGUAUUGGCCAGGGGUUCAAACGAACCCUUAGGGAACUUUGCCGCACCCAAACCUUGGUAAUGGCUGUGAAACUCGAAAGGAGCGAGGUUGGAGAUGCUUGGACUGGCUGAAGGCUCUCUAUAGAGUAACUUCUUAUCUUCUUU